GUGGGUGUAGCUCAGCUGGUUAGAGCACCUGGUUGUGGCCCAGGAGGUCGCCGGUUCAAGUCCGGUCACUCACCCCA
RNAcentral lists this transfer RNA (77 nucleotides) under Fidelibacterota bacterium. RNAcentral describes it as "tRNA-His". It matches the Rfam family "tRNA". Rfam says of the family: Transfer RNA (tRNA) molecules are approximately 80 nucleotides in length. Their secondary structure includes four short double-helical elements and three loops (D, anti-codon, and T loops). Further hydrogen bonds mediate the characteristic L-shaped molecular structure. tRNAs have two regions of fundamental functional importance: the anti-codon, which is responsible for specific mRNA codon recognition, and the 3' end, to which the tRNAs corresponding amino acid is attached (by aminoacyl-tRNA synthetases). tRNAs cope with the degeneracy of the genetic code in two manners: having more than one tRNA (with a specific anti-codon) for a particular amino acid; and 'wobble' base-pairing, i.e. permitting non-standard base-pairing at the 3rd anti-codon position. Lineage: Bacteria; Pseudomonadati; Fidelibacterota. The record is from RNAcentral.